RNAcentral lists this ribosomal RNA (690 nucleotides) under Rubrobacteraceae bacterium. RNAcentral's name for it is "partial 23S ribosomal RNA". It matches the Rfam family "Bacterial large subunit ribosomal RNA", at positions 2238 to 2925 of the family's 2925-position model. The record is from RNAcentral. Lineage: Bacteria; Bacillati; Actinomycetota; Rubrobacteria; Rubrobacterales; Rubrobacteraceae.
AUCCGGGUGGGGAACAGUGUCAGGCGGGUAGUUUGACUGGGGCGGUCGCCUCCCAAAGAGUAACGGAGGCGCCCAAAGGUUCCCUCAGCACGGUCGGAAAUCGUGCGCAGAGUGUAAACGCACAAGGGAGCUUGACUGCGAGACCGACAGGUCGAGCAGGGACGAAAGUCGGGGUUAGUGAUCCGGCGGUAACGAGUGGAAGUGCCGUCGCUCAACGGAUAAAAGGUACUCCGGGGAUAACAGGCUUAUAGCCGCCAAGAGUUCACAUCGACGCGGCUGUUUGGCACCUCGAUGUCGGCUCGUCGCAUCCUGGGGCUGGAGUAGGUCCCAAGGGUUGGGCUGUUCGCCCAUUAAAGCGGUACGCGAGCUGGGUUCAGAACGUCGUGAGACAGUUCGGUCCCUAUCUUCCGUGGGCGUUGGAGAUUUGAGAGGAGCGACUCCUAGUACGAGAGGACCGGAGUGGACGUACCCCUGGUGUACCGGUUGUCCUGCCAAGGGCACCGCCGGGUAGCUAUGUACGGAAGGGAUAACCGCUGAAAGCAUCUAAGCGGGAAGCUCGCCUCGAGAUAAGAUCUCCCAUCCCCAUAGAGGGAGUAAGACUCCUGGUAGACCACCAGGUUGAUAGGCCACAGGUGUAAGUGCAGCGAUGUAUGUAGCCGAGUGGUACUAAUAAGUCGAGGGCUUGAUGUA